This 256-nucleotide ribosomal RNA is filed under the name uncultured bacterium. Its description in RNAcentral is "partial 16S ribosomal RNA". It matches the Rfam family "Bacterial small subunit ribosomal RNA", at positions 524 to 776 of the family's 1533-position model. The record is from RNAcentral.
UACGAAGGGGGCGAGCGUUGUUCGGAUUUACUGGGCGUAAAGGGCGCGCAGGCGGCUCAUUUUGUCAGGCGUGAAAGCCCCGGGCUUAACCUGGGAACUGCGUUUGAUACGGAUGGGCUAGAGUUCGGGAGAGGAGAGUGGAAUUCCCAGUGUAGAGGUGAAAUUCGUAGAUAUUGGGAAGAACACCGGUGGCGAAGGCGGCUCUCUGGACCGAUACUGACGCUGAGGCGGCGAAAAGCGUGGGGAGCCAAACAGG